AAACCGGAGCUAAUACCGGAUAACAUAUUGAACCGCAUGGUUCAAUAGUGAAAGGCGGCUUUGCUGUCACUUAUAGAUGGAUCCGCGCCGUAUUAGCUAGUUGGUAAGGUAACGGCUUACCGGUUCAACGAUACGUAGCCGACCUGAGAGGGUGAUCGGCCACACUGGAACUGAGACACGGUGGAGACUCCUACGGGAGGCASCAGUAGGGAAUCUUCCGCAAUGGGCGAAAGCCUGACGGAGCAACGCSGCGUGAGUGAUGAAGGUCUUCGGAUCGUAAAACUCUGUUAUCAGGGAAGAACAAAUGUGUAAGUAACUGUGCACAUCUUGACGGUACCUGAUCAGAAAGCCACGGCUAACUACGUGCCAGCAGCCGCGGUAAUACGUAGGUGGCAAGCGUUAUCCGGAAUUAUUGGGCGUAAAGCGCGCGUAGGCGGUUUUUUAAGUCUGAUGUGAAAGCCCACGGCUCAACCGUGGAGGGUCAUUGGAAACUGGAAAACUUGAGUGCAGAAGAGGAAAGUGGAAUUCCAUGUGUAGCGGUGAAAUGCGCAGAGAUAUGGAGGAACGCCAGUGGCGAAGGCGACUUUCUGGUCUGUAACUGACGCUGAUGUGCGAAAGCGUGGGGAUCAAACAGGAUUAGAUACCCUGGUAGUCCACGCCGUAAACGAUGAGUGCUAAGUGUUAGGGGGUUUCCGCCCCUUAGUGCUGCAGCUAACGCAUUAAGCACUCCGCCUGGGGAGUACGACCGCAAGGUUGAAACUCAAAGGAAUUGACGGGGACCCGCACAAGCGGUGGAGCAUGUGGUUUAAUUCGAAGCAACGCGAAGAACCUUACCAAAUCUUGACAUCCUUUGACCGCUCUAGAGAUAGAGUCUUCCCCUUCGGGGGACAAAGUGACAGGUGGUGCAUGGUUGUCGUCAGCUCGUGUCAAAA
RNAcentral lists this ribosomal RNA (932 nucleotides) under Elbe River snow isolate Iso3. Its description in RNAcentral is "bacterial SSU rRNA". It matches the Rfam family "Bacterial small subunit ribosomal RNA", at positions 154 to 1070 of the family's 1533-position model. The record is from RNAcentral. Lineage: Bacteria; Bacillati; Bacillota; Bacilli; Caryophanales; Staphylococcaceae.